GCGAAGGAGAGGGAAGGACCGCUUGCCUGCGCGGAGAGGCGAGCGCCGAGCGCCCGUCCCGGCGGCCCGGGAGCCACCCGGGGAAGGUGUCCUGUGACGGCCCUUGAUCAGCAAGGCUGCAAGUCAUGUAGAAGCCGCAGUAACUGCAGAGUCUCUGAUGGAUAAUUGGAUUGGGACUAAUAUGUGGGAGGCUGUGGACUAUUUGCUUCCGACAUAGGAACAGCACUGGGUUGGAAAUCUGCACUCCCGAGAGAAUGCUGGGAAUCUGCAGAGGGCGACGGAAAUUCCUGGCUGCCUCUCUGACCGUUCUUUUUGUCCCAGCCAUUACGUGGAUUUAUCUGUUUGCUGGGAGUUUUGAAGAUGGGAAGCCAGUGUCGCUGUCUCCACUUGAAUCCCAGCCCCACAGCCCUCGGUACACGGCGUCGAGCCAGCGGGAGCGCGAGAGCUUGGAAGUCCGCAUGCGUGAGGUGGAGGAGGAGAACCGCGUGCUUCGCAAGC
Long non-coding RNA from Aptenodytes forsteri (emperor penguin), 498 nucleotides. RefSeq lists it as uncharacterized. The transcript has 4 exons. NCBI's taxonomy places the organism in Eukaryota, Metazoa, Chordata, Aves, Sphenisciformes, Spheniscidae. The record is from RefSeq and is a predicted model, not a curated record.